UUGUCAGAUGUUCAAUUUUGUGCUCCAUAAGUAAUUGACGUCGUGCCUGAUGAAGAGAUUUUGAAUCUCGAAACAUGUUGCACUGAUCUUAUAUUAAGAAUAAAUAAUUUUUCAUCGUU
Molecule: long non-coding RNA, 119 nt
Filed under: Onthophagus taurus
Lineage: Eukaryota; Metazoa; Arthropoda; Insecta; Coleoptera; Scarabaeidae
Description: uncharacterized LOC111416478
Source: RNAcentral